RNAcentral lists this transfer-messenger RNA (428 nucleotides) under Candidatus Omnitrophota. Its description in RNAcentral is "B26-G9 sp003645745 Standard tmRNA". It matches the Rfam family "transfer-messenger RNA". From Rfam's summary of the family: Bacterial tmRNA, also known as 10Sa RNA or SsrA, is named for its dual tRNA and mRNA-like properties. Its role is to liberate the mRNA from a stalled ribosome. To accomplish this part of the tmRNA is used as a reading frame that ends in a translation stop signal. RNAcentral also lists the same sequence under 2 other names. Lineage: Bacteria; Pseudomonadati. The record is from RNAcentral.
GGGGGUGAAAGGGUUCGACUUAAGUAGAUUGGUAAAGAGCAGCAUGUCGAGGUUGUCGGGAGGCCUCGUUAAACACCUGGCAAACAAAUAAACGCUGAAACUAAGAUUCCAGCUAGUGUAGAUGCUCUUCUUUCAAGGAUUGGUGAAGGUGUUGUUCAUCCUUCCUUUGUAGGAAUGGCUCUGCCAAGCGUUGCUUUAAGAUAAAGCAACCCGUGUUUUAAUUAGAGCUUGCGGAAUUAAGACACGUCAUUAGCAGGCUCGUCAGGUUUGGUUAGUUUUUAACAAAUUCUGAUUAAAUUUUUAAAAACUGCCUCUUUAAUAUCCAGUCUUUCGGGUUUUUAAAGAGAAAGAUUAAUAGAAGGACUAAACGUGUAGAUACUCUUGCUUGUUGCUUAAGGACGCGGGUUCAAUUCCCGCCACCUCCACCA